Molecule: long non-coding RNA, 1161 nt
Organism: Piliocolobus tephrosceles (Ugandan red Colobus)
Lineage: Eukaryota; Metazoa; Chordata; Mammalia; Primates; Cercopithecidae
Exons: 2
Source: RefSeq, a predicted model, not a curated record
CUGGGGGAGGGUAGACGAGUGGCGGAAACCCUUAGGCUCAGAGAAACAUCGAGAACCGGAAGGAGACCAUGGGAGGAAGGUAAAGGAAGCUGCCGCUGCGCGAUCCAGCCCCACGCCCCUCCCCACAGCGUCCCCCAGUUUCCUCACUUGGUAUUGAGGAGAUGACUCUCGCGAGAACUUCGUGGCUGGCUAACCGAAGCGGUAGCUCUGCAAUGACUUAAGAGCAGUUUUGUGCGCUCUUCCUGACGGGGUUCCGCCCCCAAAAUGUGCAAGAUCUCGCGAGACGCAGUAAGGCACCGGCUCGAACUGGGGCGGGCCACUGCCAGGAAAGCACCGCCCCUGAAUGCUUAUACUGGUGGUUGGAAGAGGAAAUGGAAUUCCCCGGACUGCACCCCUUGAUUUGCUACUGGCACCUGGAAGAGAUGUAACACCCGACCAUGGGACAUCAAGUGACUGUGUGAAUCAAACUGCCCAUCAUGAAUUGUUGUUAUUUGACUCAACCAAACUGUACAACUGGAUGAGCACAGGAGCAGUGCACUACAUAUGGGACUGGAACCAUGAAUGAGCGGUGACUCAGACUCCUAUAGUACCUGCCUCUAAUCCUUCAGCACUUCUCCCUCAACCCACAUAAACUGUCAUCACAAGGAGUUCCAUCUGAUCAGUUAAUGAAGAGAAAAAAGUAUGGAUAUUGUGGAUAUCUUAACAUCUCUCUGGCCAUUGGACCCCUAGAAACCUGUGACAAGUCCUGGAAGUUUUUCAAGGUUCAUCUUGCACCUUCUAGCAUGCGUUAUGUCUUACCAAAGCAUGUAGAAUGCUGCCUACUUCUCAUCAGUUUCAUUUAAUAUAAUUUCAUUACUCUAAUAAAUCAGUGUGAUGUUCUAUGGAAUAGCAAGACCAUCAAGGUCCCUUCAUACAAUGUAGAGAACAGGAGAGUUGAUGUAGCCUGAGACAAGACAGUAAGGACUUACUGUUGUUCCUCCUAUUUAAAUGUAGUCUGUUUCUGAUUCUCCUUAUAAUUAGAAUUGGGGUGGGGGGACAUUUCCAGAUCAAUAUCAGUAUCAUGUCAACAUGUAUAUUAAUUUCUUCCAAAGAAGAUACCACACCUAGAACAGCAACCAUAAUUGGCAUCCCUACCUAAUUAAAGUUUGCAGUCCACUGUCA